AUUUCUGAAUGUUAACGUGGGUUAUGAAGACAGACUCAGGCAGACUAUUAAGUUACUUUCCUUACUGCCAAGACGAACUCUGAAAAAGAAGUUAAGGAAUUCUUUUUCGUGAAAAAUACAAGCAUUUAGAUCCCAUUAUUCAUUCGGUUGUUUAGAUUCACUACUUAACGCAGAGGUGUAUAAAACUAGAAGAGUAUUCUGGUUGAAAGGAAAGCAAAAGCUAGACCUAGUAUGCCUAAUGUCAAACGACUAGUCAGUUUUUAUACAGAUCAGAUAAAGAGUUAUCCGGUUAUACUGAAGAAAUAUAAACAGGACGUUAGAUAUCCAAUCACCGUGCAGGGAAUAUGCACAGUUGGUUCCUUCCUUUUUUGUUUGUUUAGGGAGGAGAGUUCACAGGUAGUACAGCCCAGGUGAGUUAAGGAAGGGAGCUGUGUAACUGAAAAGAGAGGUGAUUAAAUGUUGAGACGCCGUGUGAUUGUGCCCUUUCAGAACUAAAUGAAAGUUAUGUUUGAACUGGACGUAUCUCAGUGUGAUAAGUCUGCGUUUGUUGGAAAAAUUGGUUUACUUACACACAAGGGAAAACAAAUGUAGGCGCGAGAGACGUGUUACUGCUACAGUUAACAAAAGUUGAAACCGAGCUCUCUGGAUUACUGAGAGAAAACAUUACAUCAGUGGCCAGCAGUUGUAUCCAGUUCCAGCAUACAGAAGGUGUUAAACCCAACCAAGGAUUUCAUGUUCUUCUUUGAGCCUGUAGUACAAAUUUGAGAGUGACUCGUAACGUGAAUACUGAGAAAGAGGGAAGCAGUUUACCAUUUGAAAUGACAUCUGCAACAUCACAGACACUGCAUUUCUAAUCCUUCCACCGGGAUUUCUGGGACAGUUGCCUGUUUUCACCUUUUUGAAGCUGUUUGCAGGAUAGUAUUCAUUGUAAGCAUUCAAGACGUCUGACAAAAUGAAUAUCCAGAUGCAGCCAUUGAGAGAACCUUCUGAAGAGACAUCAUCACUAGUUAACAAUGGCCAGGUA
This is a long non-coding RNA of Protopterus annectens (West African lungfish), 1024 nucleotides long. RefSeq lists it as uncharacterized. The transcript has 4 exons. The record is from RefSeq and is a predicted model, not a curated record. Lineage: Eukaryota; Metazoa; Chordata; Ceratodontiformes; Protopteridae.